Molecule: ribosomal RNA, 465 nt
Filed under: uncultured bacterium
Lineage: Bacteria
Description: partial 16S ribosomal RNA
Rfam family: Bacterial small subunit ribosomal RNA
Source: RNAcentral
CCUACGGGGGGCAGCAGUGGGGAAUAUUGCGCAAUGGGCGAAAGCCUGACGCAGCGACGCCGCGUGAGGGAUGAAGGUCUUCGGAUCGUAAACCUCUGUCAGCAGGGAAGAACGGUCACUGUGCUAAUCAGCAGUGAAUUGACGGUACCUGCAAAGGAAGCACCGGCUAACUCCGUGCCAGCAGCCGCGGUAAUACGGAGGGUGCGAGCGUUAAUCGGAAUUACUGGGCGUAAAGCGCUCGUAGGCGGUAUGUCAAGUCAAGGGUGAAAUCCCCGCGCUCAACGUGGGAACUGCCUCUGAAACUGGCAAACUGGAGUGUGUGAGAGGAGAGUGGAAUUCCAGGUGUAGGAGUGAAAGCCGUAGAUAUCUGGAGGAACAUCAGUGGCGAAGGCGACUAUCUGGCACAUAACUGACGCUGAGGAGCGAAAGCGUGGGUAGCAAACAGGAUUAGAUACCCGGGUAGUC